GAGAGAUUGCACCAAGGAUUUUAGGGUUAAAAUGAAAUGUGUUAUAUAUGUCCACUCCGCUGAUAAGUAAGAGCCAUAUCGUAACAAUUGGGGCAAAAAUAAACCCAAUUUUACGGGUCCCAUAGUGCUGCAGAAUGAAAAGGCAGGCCAAAAUAGCACAUGCAAAUGCAACUGGUACAUAUCUUUCAAUAGCAUCUGAUAAGAAACGCUGUGUCUGCGGUGAAGAUGAGUAUUUAAUUUUUGACAAUGCUUGUUAAAGACCAGAGGAAGCUGAUAAUACUGAAAUG
RNAcentral lists this unclassified non-coding RNA (287 nucleotides) under Hevea brasiliensis (rubber tree). Lineage: Eukaryota; Viridiplantae; Streptophyta; Magnoliopsida; Malpighiales; Euphorbiaceae. The record is from RNAcentral.